RNAcentral lists this ribosomal RNA (164 nucleotides) under Guptibacillus hwajinpoensis. RNAcentral describes it as "partial 23S ribosomal RNA". It matches the Rfam family "Bacterial large subunit ribosomal RNA", at positions 2763 to 2925 of the family's 2925-position model. The record is from RNAcentral. Lineage: Bacteria; Bacillati; Bacillota; Bacilli; Caryophanales; Guptibacillaceae.
GAUAAGUGCUGAAAGCAUCUAAGCAUGAAGCCCCCCUCGAGAUGAGAUUUCCCACAGCAUUAAGCUGGUAAGAUCCCUUAGAGAUGAUGAGGUAGAUAGGUUCGGGGUGGAAGCGUGGCAACACGUGCAGCUGACGAAUACUAAUCGAUCGAGGGCUUAACCUA